This 613-nucleotide ribosomal RNA is filed under the name Hansenula anomala. RNAcentral describes it as "eukaryotic LSU rRNA". It matches the Rfam family "Eukaryotic large subunit ribosomal RNA", at positions 37 to 663 of the family's 3401-position model. The record is from RNAcentral. Lineage: Eukaryota; Fungi; Ascomycota; Saccharomycetes; Phaffomycetales; Wickerhamomycetaceae.
UGCAUAUCAAUAAGCGGAGGAAAAGAAACCAACAGGGAUUGCCUUAGUAACGGCGAGUGAAGCGGCAAAAGCUCAAAUUUGAAAUCUAGCACCUUCGGUGUUCGAGUUGUAAUUUGAAGAUGGUAACCUUGGGUUUGGCUCUUGUCUAUGUUCCUUGGAACAGGACGUCAUAGAGGGUGAGAAUCCCGUCUGAUGAGAUGCCCAUUCCUAUGUAAGGUGCUAUCGAAGAGUCGAGUUGUUUGGGAAUGCAGCUCUAAGUGGGUGGUAAAUUCCAUCUAAAGCUAAAUAUUGGCGAGAGACCGAUAGCGAACAAGUACAGUGAUGGAAAGAUGAAAAGAACUUUGAAAAGAGAGUGAAAAAGUACGUGAAAUUGUUGAAAGGGAAGGGCAUUAGAUCAGACUUGGUGUUUUACGAUUAUCUUCUCUUCUUGAGUUGUGCACUCGUAUUUCACUGGGCCAGCAUCGAUUCGGAUGGCAAGAUAAUGGUAGUUGAAUGUGGCUUCACUUCGGUGGAGUGUUAUAGCUUCUGCUGAUAUUGCCUGUCUGGAUCGAGGGCUGCGUCUUUUGACUAGGAUGCUGGCGUAAUGAUCUAAUGCCGCCCGUCUUGAAACACG